AGCACACAGAGCCCUCGCAGGAUGGUGGGACCUGGCAGCUGCAGCAACCCGUUAUCUCCUGUGCGCGUUGGCCAGCGGUGUGUAGAAGGGCAGACACUCUUCCAGGUUGUUGGCUCUUUGGGACUCUUCAGGGCUGCAAACCUUUCCAGAGAUUAG
Molecule: long non-coding RNA, 156 nt
Filed under: Dromaius novaehollandiae (emu)
Lineage: Eukaryota; Metazoa; Chordata; Aves; Casuariiformes; Dromaiidae
Description: lncRNA (ENSDNVG00000016055.1)
Source: RNAcentral